CAAGUAUAAAAAUCUCGCGCAUUAAGAUCGUCAGUAAAACAUUAUACAAUUUACAAAAAUCUAUUUUUGUAUUAUUAAUAAUAAUAAUACAUCAUUAUAAUAAUGGAAUUCAUAUUAUUCAAGAUGAGCAUGAUUAUUUUAUUGUUCUAUAUUGUUGCAAUGGUUAAUACUAUGGUAGAAGGUAUAUAAUUGUUGUUGAAUUUUUAAUACAUUUUUUAAUUUCCCUAAUAUAAAUAUUCAAUUUAUUAUAUCCAUUGAAUGUGUAUUCGUGUAUUACAAUAAAUUAAUACAUUUUAUUCACGUGCUGUAAGUUGUAUAAUUUGCAGGAGCACCUAAAUCCCUUUGGUACUCACAAGAAGACCCAUUUAGCGGUGAGUUUUCAUUAAAUUAAAAACAUACAUUAUCUGAUUUGCAAUACCUGUUCAUAAUAACUAAUAUUAUAAUAACACGCCUACUUGAAGUAGUAUUAUUAUUGUCAUUUAUUUACUAACAAAAACAUUCGGAAAUUUAAAUGUACUUAUUUAAAUGGCCCACUGAGCAAGCUCGUGUGGGACCUAGGUAUACUUUUAAUUAUGGAAUCAAAUUUAUUAAAAUUUAAGUACAUAUCUACGCACGUAGUAUUUUAUUAAUAAAUAAUACUAAUUUAUACUGAUAAUUAACUUUAUGUAAUAAGGAUUAAGCUUAGGCUUAUGUUUGUAAUAUAUUUAUUGUCAGUGCAAUCUAAACCACUUUUUCCCCCAGAACUCUCAAUAGGUCAUCGAAAUUAAAAUGUCAUAUUUUUUCUUAACAGGUUCACCAAUAUAAUUCAUAUAUUAAUAUAAAUCAAAAAAGGUAAGAUAAAAAAGUACCUAAUUUUUAUUAAUUACUAUUGAAUUAUUUAAUUUUAUAAAUAUUGCAGGUAACUAUAUAACAUAUAUAGUAUUAAAAUGUUUAAAUAAUAAAUAGUCCAAACUGAGAUGGUUUAGGCAUGACAUGAAUAGAGGAAUUGGAAACAAUAGAAAUAUUAAUCAAAAUAAAUGUAGGGGGGGAAAGAGUGGAAAAGGAAGACCAAAAAAGAGAUGGUACGAUGUAAAUUGUAUAAGGAUGACAGCUGUAUGUAAGGAUUACGUGACUUUAAAAUUUUUAAUCCAUCGAGGCAAUGUGAAGUAACUGAUUAUAUUUAUAGUUAUAUUUUCAGGCAUUUUAAGGCCAAAAGUAAUGUAACCCAAAACCACCCCCACCCCUAAAAAAAUACAUUUAAUACAACGUGGGAAAAAUAAAUUGAGCAAGUUUUUUUUUUUUAAAUAUUAAAUAAGUAUCUUUAGAAUAAAAUGUACUAAUAAAAUCUAAUACAUUUAUAUAGGAAUUAUGGAUCCUCAACAAAGUUUCCAAUUCAGUGCACAAGUUAAAGAAAUUAAAGAAGAAUUUAAAUUUAAAAAUUAUACUCACCGCAGUAUUUACUUGUUAUUAAUAUUAAUUUAACAUCUAAUUAGGGGUAUAUAUU
RNAcentral lists this long non-coding RNA (1483 nucleotides) under Cinara cedri. Lineage: Eukaryota; Metazoa; Arthropoda; Insecta; Hemiptera; Aphididae. The record is from RNAcentral.